CAGUCGCCACGGUAAUACGGAGGGAGCUAGCGUUAUUCGGAAUUACUGGGCGUAAAGCGCACGUAGGCGGCUUUGUAAGUUAGAGGUGAAAGCCUGGAGCUCAACUCCAGAAUUGCCUUUAAGACUGCAUCGCUUGAAUCCAGGAGAGGUGAGUGGAAUUCCGAGUGUAGAGGUGAAAUUCGUAGAUAUUCGGAAGAACACCAGUGGCGAAUGCGGCUCACUGGACUGGUAUUGACGCUGAGGUGCGAAAGCGUGGGGAGCAAACAGGAUUAGAUACCCGCGUAGUCCCUGUCUCUUAUAA
Molecule: ribosomal RNA, 301 nt
Filed under: uncultured bacterium
Lineage: Bacteria
Description: partial 16S ribosomal RNA
Rfam family: Bacterial small subunit ribosomal RNA
Source: RNAcentral